CCUACGGGUGGCAGCAGUGGGGAAUAUUGCACAAUGGGGGAAACCCUGAUGCAGCAACGCCGCGUGAGCGAUGAAGGCCUUCGGGUCGUAAAGCUCUGUCCUAAGGGAAGAAUACUGACGGUACCUUAGGAGGAAGCCCCGGCUAACUACGUGCCAGCAGCCGCGGUAAUACGUAGGGGGCUAGCGUUAUCCGGAAUUACUGGGCGUAAAGGGUGCGUAGGCGGCCCUUCAAGUCAGAGGUGAAAGGCUACGGCUCAACCGUAGUAAGCCUUUGAAACUGUAGGGCUUGAGUGCAGGAGAGGGGAGUGGAAUCCCCGGGGUGGGGGUGAAAGGCGUAGAUAUGGGGAGGAAAACCAGUGGAGAAGGGGGCUCUCGGGACUGUAACUGACGCUGGGGCACGAAAGGGUGGGGAGCGAACAGGAUUAGAUACCCAAGGAGUC
Molecule: ribosomal RNA, 440 nt
Filed under: uncultured bacterium
Lineage: Bacteria
Description: bacterial SSU rRNA
Rfam family: Bacterial small subunit ribosomal RNA
Source: RNAcentral